ACACCUCGCGCCCUGGGUUUUAGUGGAAGGCGCCCCAGGCUACCAGGGAUCGCGACACUGCUCUCCCGGUGACUUUCUUCGGGCCUGAGCUUCCCCCGGCUGGACGCAGUUUCUGAGGGUCCUUCCGGUUCACACUCUGCCACUCCGUGAUCCUCUUGGCUCCGGAGUGAAGAACCCUGCGUCUUUGUGCACGUGUCUGUGCGCCUGCCUGUGAGGGGGGUGGGGGUGCAGAGCGGGUAUCGCUUUUGGAUUUCCAUAGCAACUGCUCCUGUGUCACCCCAUUGCUCCCAAAGGUUUGAGCGGUUGCUUGUACAAAUUUACAUAUAUCUGCAUGUCAUUAACAUAGAGGCGGGGCCGGAACUUGUUUGGGCAACUAUCCCUGGACGGUUCUCUUUGCUUCUUCCUCAUCCCGUCUGAUAGGCAUGUGGGCUGCGCAUGCGUGAGUGUUUAGCCUGUCCAUGUUCUCAGAUGUGGGGUGGAUGAGUGAGCUGUGACAGUGACCAUCAGUUCCCUUUCCCCACGUCCCCUUAUUGAACCCUUAGCAUGAAUCCAUCCAGAUAUCCCUGACUGAAGACACCCAGCUUCCCAAGCAAUGCCAGGCCUUGUUGGCACUCCAAUUCCUUUUCUGGCUGUGUGGCCUUGACAAGUUUAGUUACCCUCUCUGUGGCUCAGUUUUCUUCUCUGUAAACAGGGAUACUAAUCUCUAACUUACCAGGUGAUGGGAGGGUUUAACUGGUUGCCACUUUUACACACACUAAUUGCUGCUUUCUGGCCUACAGUAGGCACUCAGUGGUGCUCCCUUCCUCCCUCCCUGGAGCCCAACUCUUCUCAGAACCCAACCAAAGCAAAUCAACUUCAGUUGCCGCUUAAGACAUGACAACUAGACACCAGAAGAACUUCCAGAUGUCAGGGCAGACUGGAUUUGAUGCACAGGAUGAGGACUAUUGUUUUCUCUAUUUGUCCUUCUUGGAAGCUGGAGGUCAGGUUGGUGAGUGUGGACCCUCCUACCGCCUCCCCCUUAUACCCUUGUCUCUCUCAGGGAGCCCACUGGUUUCCAGAAAACUUGCUUUCUUGUCCCAAAGGCCUGGAGCCUGAGACGGCUGUAGCAGUGACAGCUGAGCUUGGGAGGCCCGAAGACCAGGGCAGAGCAGGUGGUGGCUAAGGAAGUACCUUCCAGGACUGAGGUGUUUGGGAUGGAGCAGGACUGGGAUGGAAGGGAGACUGAGAGCAGAAACUGCUUGGAGAGCCACAUGUCUGUUCCUUUACCAGAGAGGACUGGGGAACCCUGGGGCCACCCCCUUGCCCUUUCUGAGCCUCAGUUUCCCUGUUGUAGGCAGUAAGGACUCCUCUGUUUCAACUUGUGUGGGGGGUAAUAAGUCAGCUCAGUAUGGAGAACCUUCUCGUUGCUGCAGCUAUGUAACAGUGCCAUGGAGGGAGUUCCCUGUUCUUUGCACUGUGCAAGCAGAAGCCGAGAGGGACCCCUUAAGUGUGCUGGAUAGGAGCAGCAGAAUUCCUGGAGGCUCUUGUUCAUUUAAAAACUGGGGUUGGCUCCUAUCCUGUGUGGAGGAAGAUUGUUGGUGAUGGACAGGGAUGUAAGAACUGGGUUCCAAGGGGUUGAGUGGCUUCCUGGAGGAGGUAGGACUGCAUGGAGACCAUACUCUGCAGUUGUCACUCUGACUGCUGUAUGCAAGACUGCUGUCUGCUGGUGGAUGGCGGUGGGCCAGCCAACUGUGCUCCACAGGUGAGGGUUCCAGGGACAGGCUGUGAGCCUGGCAGUGUCCGGCUGGCCCGCCUGUGUCCCACUCUGGGGGCCAAUUAAGUCUCCAUCCCUAGUCGCGCCGAUUAACAGUUAAUAAGGCAGCAAACACCUGCAGCUAUGGAGGCGAAUUAAGAGCAACAGUCGGCAUAAUACACAACCCGAUAAGUGAGCAAUUAACAACCGGAGAAAGAUUAAUAGAAGCAAUUACGUUCCUACUCGGAGCUCUGUAAAUACAACUGUCAAUGGCCAGGGUAUUCAGUUCAGUCCUGCCUGGCCCCACCCCGGGCCACAGCCUCUGUUGGCAGGGGUGCCCACUGAGCCAGACUGUGGAUCCUGGACCGCAGAGGCAUGUACACAGGCACAGAUAUGCAAAUGCACACAGAGAUAUACACAUCCAGACAUACUUAGAGAGGUGGCCCACAGAAUGCAGUCAUAUAGAUAUAAAAAUUCCCCACUGUCUCACAUACUCGCAUUCACAGACGGGUACACACAGACACACAUAGGGCCUUCCAGAAGCAUACACAGAGAUACACAGAAAAAUACCCACAGUGUCAUAAAGAUACAUUUUCACAGAGCUAGAGCCACACAGACUACCAGUGACACUCACAUAUACAAACAGACGUGUAGACACACACAGAUUUUUACUCAUAGGGUCACAUAUGCAUGCAACCCUCCUGUGAUGCCCUUCAGAGGGUUGUCCAUAGUGGGUGAGGGCGGCAGCAGGGCCCUGGACUGAGAGAGAACUGGAGUGAACUGGAGAGAAUUGAACUGAGAGAGAACUGGAGGGUGGGAGGGGACACGGGAGGGACAGAAUGUGUGUGAAAACAUGCAAGUGUGUCUGCAUGCAUGUGACUCUAAGCAUGUGCAUCUUUGCAAGAAUGUGUUUCACCCAUGUAUGGGCACAUUACUGUGUGUAAACAUGCAUGUGCCUAUACGUCUGUGUGGCUGCAUGAGGUGAGUGUCUCAUGAUGCCUGGGUAUAUGUACGUGUACUGUGCCCAGCAGAUCUGUGACUACACAUGUGGGUGUCUGGAUCACGUGUGAUCACGCUGUGCCAGUGUCCAUGUCUAGGUAAUUGUGUGCCUGUACUUCCGAGUGGCUUUACAUGUGUCCUGUCUCUGUGCUGGGGCCAGGGAGGGACGCUUCCCUGGGAAGCCUGGGAUGGUGCCUGAAAGCAGAGUUGUCCCCCCACUGCCCACCACCGGAAUGGGGCUCAAGGACAGGCAGGGAUGCUCUCAGCCUGACUUGGCUUCCCUCACAGGGACUUCAGCCCCUUUCAAGAGAUUGACAUGGAGGUUAAUUUCUCCUGCUUGAAAGCUGAGCCAGGAAUUCACUGAGCACCUUCCUCUUAAAGCCACAGCUCCAGUCCCCACUGGGCUCAAGCCCUCCCCACCCUUGUCUCCACCCUGAGCUUCCCUGGGAAAACCCCCAGACGUGAGACCCAUGCACUUUGCUCGCGUUCUGGGACAUACACUGUCAUGCACAGAAUACAGUCAUGCAGACACACAAACAUGGCCAGUCACGAAUACGAACACAUCACAUUUUGCUUGUGACACCCCGACCUAGCCAGUGUGUGCACAGGCUGGCCACACACACAAAAUCCCAC
Molecule: long non-coding RNA, 3364 nt
Filed under: Homo sapiens (human)
Lineage: Eukaryota; Metazoa; Chordata; Mammalia; Primates; Hominidae
Description: non-protein coding lnc-SPOCD1-4:2
Source: RNAcentral